This 1600-nucleotide long non-coding RNA is filed under the name Scleropages formosus (Asian bonytongue). Its description in RNAcentral is "lncRNA (ENSSFOG00015029980.1)". Lineage: Eukaryota; Metazoa; Chordata; Actinopteri; Osteoglossiformes; Osteoglossidae. The record is from RNAcentral.
AUGGUUACCGUCUGGAAUUUCAAGACAAUUUAUCUCCUCACUGUUGCUUUUAUAUGGAAAUCUGUCAAUGCAAACUGCCUGCACAGACCCCAGGGAGCAAACUUCUCUUUCCAGCCAGUCUGUAUGUCUUCCAAGCCAUGGAAUGGUACUCAUCCAACCUGAUCCUCCUUCUGUGAGACACUGGAGUCCAGAACAGUUUUUUGCCCUGGACAGUACAGUCAACAUACCAUGUUACAACGAACCAAGGAAACAGAUUAUUUACAACAUCUGGAAUCUGAAAAUGAAAGCAAAUAACUGCUGCAUUGCUUGGCAUUUCAAUGAAAGUCAGAUUGACACCUGCAAAGAUGGAAAAGUGUUGAGAAAUGGAACAAGUGGACAACCCUUUUUGUACAUUCCUCGCUUUACACGUGAAGAUGAGGGAAUCUAUUUUUGUGAGACUGCAUACUUGGGAGGGUGUCACACAGCUAAAAUCCAAGUAUCUGCAAAGAUCCGUCCAGAGAUCUCUGGGAAGUUGGUGCUACAUCAUGACAGGAAAGUGGCUGUGUGCUCGGCUGCUGGAGGUAAACCUGCAGCCACUAUCUCCUGGAGCACCAUAGAAAAUGUGAGCGACCACCACACCGCCACACCAAACCUCGAUGGCACCUUUACUGUAGAGAGACGCUUGGUCCUAUCCAACAACGUUUCCCACAGCAACUUGACAUGCAUCGUCACUCACCCUAGCUUGGGAGAGGCACACAUGGAGAAGAUCCUACCUUCAGAAGAUGCAGUUCCAUGGAAAUGGAUUGGAGUCUCCCUGGCUUCCACGGGCCUUAUAGCUUUUAUGCUUACUGGAUUUUUUCUGGCACGGAAACACUUCAGCAAUUUUAGUACUUUACUCCAGCGCUGCUGCAAGUUCCAUAAUCAACUGCCGGCAGAGUCACAGAAGAAACAGGAUGGAGAAGAAAUGGAACUGUGUUCUAGCUACGUGCAACGUGUGAACUCCAUCUACAAGUCCUCAGCCGAUCUGUGCAACUACUGAAACGCCUUCAGAAGCAGCCAGGGUGCACCGACGGUUCACUACCGAGAAAUUCAACCGCCGUGAGAAAGAAAAGGAAAUCCGCCACAACGUAGGAUAUCUUGAGGCUGUUCAUGGAAGGACUUGCAAGCAUGUAGCUGUGGUGUUUUGUGCAGAAAACAAAGAGUGACGCACAGGGUUCCAUCUCAAGGCAAAGACAUGCUGUCGGGGCUCAGGCCGCGUUCCUCUGCGAUCCCCAGCGUCUCAGAUCUCACUGUCUGAGAGGGCAAAGGGAAAUGGACCUUUUGCAGAGCAAAACAAAAUGGGUGAUGAGUCAAGAGGAAAAACAGCAAGUUUCUCAAGUAAACUGUCAUGACCCACUUUGACUAUUCAUUUUCAUUGCUAAAAAAGCUGAGGUUAAACUUCAGUCUAAACCCUAAAUUAUACUGUGACUUUCACAUCUUUAUUAAGACACCAUUUCUUCAUUUGUCAUUAACCUAUCUUUAAUAUUCAUUAUUUUUUAAUUAGGAAAGCUGUCCGGUUGUCGAUAUAUUUUUAAAAAAACAGUAUAAUAAAAAGGGCCACUUCCCUUUUUAUUAUAACCUU